Mus musculus (house mouse) is the source of this 976-nucleotide long non-coding RNA. RefSeq annotates it as RIKEN cDNA 4930405A10 gene. NCBI's taxonomy places the organism in Eukaryota, Metazoa, Chordata, Mammalia, Rodentia, Muridae. The transcript has 4 exons. The record is from RefSeq and is marked validated.
GAGUCUACCAGGAUAAAUUUCCAAGAUGAAGUCUAGCUCCAGAAGUUUUCAGAGAGACUUGCAAACAAGCCGAGCCCACCUGCGGUCCUCAAAGGCAUCCUCAGACAGCAUGGAACACCCAGCCUCCUGUCUGCAUUGAGCAUGCCCAAGACAUACUGUUCAAGUCAGGUGAUGGAACACAGGCUGAACUUACCAGCAGAGCAGGGUUAACAAGUACCAAGGAGAUUUCAAAGACAAACUGCUGGUAGGGCCUGCCAGGAGCUAAGAUUCAUAAUGAAACUACAAAUUCUGGAGACCCAUUUUUUACUGUCUGCCAUGGCAAGUAUCUAAAAUUAAAUGCUAAGCCGAAAUCUGUCCUGGAGUCUGACACACAGCAGUUAAGAAGGAGAAAAUGAAAGCACCGGGCUGCUUCUGAAGGUGUAGAAGCUGAUGAAAGGUACCAACAGGAGAAAAGUAAACAUGAAAAAAUUAUCAUAAUAAGCGUGAGCUUGUGAACAUAAACUGAUGCAAGCCAGAACCCUCAGGUCAGUGGCACUGAGCAGAAGCCUGUGAUAUUGGAUGCUUGGACUUUGUGGGAGAAUGGCUGGCUGAAACCAUCUCCACAUGGAGGAGUAAAGAGAAGGCAACAAGAGCUAGCCUGUUGAUUGGACACAUGAAAAUGUUUUGAAAUUGAAGAACAUGGUAUUGGAGAGUGACACCUCUCUACUGAGAAACAAGCAAAGCUAGUAGCCUUUACAUAGACACAGAGAAGAACUAGAUAGACACACACAGAGGACAUAAGGACAAACGUAGCGUUUCUGCUUAACAGUAUUAAAACAGCACGGACAACAAUGUGAGAAGAUACAGUUUUCCUAAGAGACGGAGAAAAUCCAGAAGAGAGCAAAGAUCUUCCUUGUAAUAUCUAACUACGACUGGGCUGGCAGUGUGUUCUAGGAUGGCCACUGGUCUUCAAAUAUCUUGAAUUGAUUACAACAUU